CCUACGGGGGGCAGCAGUGGGGAAUAUUGGGCAAUGGAGGAAACUCUGACCCAGCAACGCCGCGUGAAUGAUGAAGGUCUUCGGAUUGUAAAGUUCUUUUCUAAGGGAAGAUAAAAGUGACGGUACAUUAGGAAUAAGCCUCGGCUAACUACGUGCCAGCAGCCGCGGUAAUACGUAGGAGGCGAGCGUUAUCCGGAAUGACUGGGCGUAAAGGGGGCGUAGGUGGUUUAGCAAGUCAGUAGAGUAAUUCCAAGGCUCAACCUUGGAACUACAACUAAAACUGUUGGACUAGAGUGCAGGAGAGGCAAGCGGAAUUCCUGGUGUAGCGGUGGAAUGCGUAGAGAUUAAGAGGAACACUAGUGGCGAAGGCGAGCUGCUAGACUGUAACUGACACUGAGGCACGAAAGCGUGGGGAGCAAACAGGAUUAGAUACCCGUGUAGUC
Molecule: ribosomal RNA, 443 nt
Filed under: uncultured bacterium
Lineage: Bacteria
Description: partial 16S ribosomal RNA
Rfam family: Bacterial small subunit ribosomal RNA
Source: RNAcentral